GAGGAUGAGAACCUCCGGGAGCAGGAGGUUCGACUCGAGCGAAGCGAGAGAACGUUGCGUUAGCAACGGCCCGCAGGGCGAGUCACGCAGUGGCGAGUCAUCCUC
This 105-nucleotide small RNA is filed under the name Salmonella enterica subsp. enterica. RNAcentral's name for it is "RtT sRNA". It matches the Rfam family "RtT RNA", at positions 18 to 118 of the family's 130-position model. Rfam says of the family: This family represents a bacterial cis-regulatory element known as RtT RNA. Lineage: Bacteria; Pseudomonadati; Pseudomonadota; Gammaproteobacteria; Enterobacterales; Enterobacteriaceae. The record is from RNAcentral. RNAcentral also lists the same sequence under 1 other name.